AGAUUCGAUAUCUCGCAUGAUAGAUCUAAGAUCGUACGCAACACGGCGCCAAGUAUCAGUCAUAGUACGCGUCGUUAUUAUAUUCGCAACUCGAAUGUAAUAAAGUACCAAAAUCGCAAGGUGGUCGAGCAGGAUGCGCAAGUAUAAACCAUGUCACGCUCGGCGACAUAUCCAGUGAAUUAACGCUACCUGAACAGUUACAUCUCCUUAAAAUUAACGGACCAGCGACCUCGGCCAGGACUAUCCUGAUUCGCCUUCAUGAUGGCCAUAACCAACAUAAUAUUAACUACGAUAAAAAACUAAAAUUAAUAAUUUGACUCUAACUAUCGCCGCUAUAAUACGACUGGCCUGUAUACAUAUUAAAUAAUUUAUAAUAAAUAACUUGUUUAUAAAUA
This is a long non-coding RNA of Bombus pascuorum, 395 nucleotides long. RefSeq lists it as uncharacterized. Lineage: Eukaryota; Metazoa; Arthropoda; Insecta; Hymenoptera; Apidae. The record is from RefSeq and is a predicted model, not a curated record. The transcript has 3 exons.